CUCGAAACGCUCGAUCGUUUAGUUAUACGCGGUUAAGUGUAUCGUGUUUUAUACAAUAAACGUCGAACGUUACGAAUCUACAACGUUACAACAAUUUUACGCUCUCUCUUCUCUGUAGUGAUUCGAACGAAUGAAAUCAUUAUCGAAACAAGAUAUGUAACGCGUGUAACA
Long non-coding RNA from Bombus impatiens (common eastern bumble bee), 171 nucleotides. RefSeq lists it as uncharacterized. The transcript is spliced from 3 exons. The record is from RefSeq and is a predicted model, not a curated record. NCBI's taxonomy places the organism in Eukaryota, Metazoa, Arthropoda, Insecta, Hymenoptera, Apidae.